RNAcentral lists this transfer RNA (82 nucleotides) under Morchella conica CCBAS932. It matches the Rfam family "tRNA". Rfam says of the family: Transfer RNA (tRNA) molecules are approximately 80 nucleotides in length. Their secondary structure includes four short double-helical elements and three loops (D, anti-codon, and T loops). Lineage: Eukaryota; Fungi; Ascomycota; Pezizomycetes; Pezizales; Morchellaceae. The record is from Rfam by way of RNAcentral.
UCUUUGGUAGUAUAGUGGUUAGUAUACUCGCUUGUCAAUCGACAACCCGCGAGUGACCGGGGUUCAAUUCCCCGCCAGAGAG